AUGCAUAAGCUCGUAAAUGUUCAUUAUUUGGACAAGACGACAUUUAUGCUUGGAAAUGACGAUGAAGGGGAAGAGGCUAUGGUUCUUGACACAAGUCCAAGCUUUGAUGAUCUUGUAGUUAAAGUGAGAAGCGUCUUACAUUGGAAUGACCCAAAUGCCGAGGUUAAGCUUAUUGGGAGGUAUGACGUUGGAUUGGGAGUAAAGUCCCGAUUAAAGAGUAUGCCCAUCACCUCCCAAUUGCAUUGGAAUGUGUACAAGGAAAAAGUAGACGCAUCACAAGACAAGUCUCUUGAGAUCUUUGCCACAAAGGUUAAUCCUCCUCCUCCCUUGCAAAUUGAUCUCAACCGCAAUGCAUCCUCCCCAAUACAUGAUGAUAGUGCCGAGGUGUAUAUCCCCAAUUGUUCUAGCCAACCACCAAGUAGCCAACCC
This 429-nucleotide ribosomal RNA is filed under the name Triticum aestivum (bread wheat). RNAcentral describes it as "partial small subunit ribosomal RNA". The record is from RNAcentral. Lineage: Eukaryota; Viridiplantae; Streptophyta; Magnoliopsida; Poales; Poaceae.